CGCAGCCGCGGUAAUUCCAGCUCCAAUAGCGUAUAUUAAAGUUGUUGCAGUUAAAAAGCUCGUAGUUGAAUUUCGGGGUUAGUAGGUUGGUCGUGCCACUGGUACGUACUGGUCUCACUGAUUCCUCCUUCCUGAUGAACUGUAAUGCCAUUAAUUUGGUGUUGCAGGGAAACUGGACUGUUACUUUGAAAAAAAUUAGAGUGUUUAAAAGCGGGCAUUAGCUUGAAUACAUUAGCAUGGAAUAAUGAAAUAGGACGUUUGAUCCUAUUUUGUUGGUUUCUAGGAUCGACGUAAUGAUUAAUAGGGAUAGUUGGGGGCAUUAGUAUUCAAUUGUCAGAGGUGAAAUUCUUGGAUUUAUUGAAGACUAACUACUGCGAAAGCAUUUGCCAAGGAUGUUUUCAUUAAUCAAGAACGAAAGUUAGGGGAUCGAAGACGAUCAGAUACCGUCGUAGUCUUAACCAUAAACUAUGCCGACUAGGGAUCGGAUGAUGUUAAUUUUUUAAUGACUCAUUCGGCGCCU
Molecule: ribosomal RNA, 520 nt
Filed under: uncultured Glomus
Lineage: Eukaryota; Fungi; Glomeromycota; Glomeromycetes; Glomerales; Glomeraceae
Description: SSU rRNA
Rfam family: Eukaryotic small subunit ribosomal RNA
Source: RNAcentral